GCGCCACCACACCCGACUAAAAGUCAGUUUCAAGUGUCUUCCUCAGUCACUCUCCACCUUGCUUUUUGAGAUAGGGUCUCUCACUGAACUUGAAUCAAUUGAGCUAGGCUGACUGACCAGCAAGCCCCAGAGAUCCUAUCUCUGCCUCCCUAGUUCCGGGGUUAAAAACAAGCACUACCAUAGUAGUGGUACAUGCCUCUAAUCCCAGCCUGGAGGGCAGAGGAGGGCAGAAACAGACAGAUCUCUGAGUUCAAGGCCAGCCUGGUCUACAUAGGGAGUUCCAGGACAGCCAGGGCCAGGGCUACAUAGAGAAACCCUGUGGAAACAAAAACAAAAACAAAAACAAAAUAAAACCAAAACCCAAGAACAACAACAAAACAUAUGCUGUUGCUCCUGACUGUUUGCAUGGGUACUAGGAAUCAAACUCAUGCUUCUAUAGCAAGUGUUGUACCAACGAGCCAUUUCUCAGCCUGAAGAGAACAAUUUUUUUUAUUAAAUCUAGAUUUUUCUCAUGCCUUCUAGGCAUCUUGUCAUUUAUAUGCCUGUGACAUUUGAGUUAACUUCUUCAAAGGGUGUAAGGUCAGAUGGUGUCAGUUUUCUAACUCCCUUCAGUAGAGUCUUCAGGAUUCUGUCUUUGCCUUUGUAAUUUGUAAUGUUGCCUUCCAGGCUUUCAUUACAAAUUCUAGAACAAAUCCAGCCCAUGCCGGAUACUACACACGCAUAGCCUAGCAACCAGUGACAUUGUUCUUAAAGCUGGGGGUAGAAGCUUUACCAUGAAACUUCUUGUGUAGAAAGAAGAGCCAAUGACAGAAUUUAUUCCUUAGCUACAUCACUGAACUGUAAAAUCAAGUAUCACUUGAGGCCUAUGCCUGCCCUGGACUUUCUAGCUCCAUGGGUUCUAUGCACU
This 907-nucleotide long non-coding RNA is filed under the name Mus musculus (house mouse). Its description in RNAcentral is "long non-coding RNA chr16:3779881-3780788". The record is from RNAcentral. Lineage: Eukaryota; Metazoa; Chordata; Mammalia; Rodentia; Muridae.